AAAUCUCAGAAACCUCCUAUGCUGUAAUCUUUGAGUUUAAUGUAAGUAAUAUCAGCAAGCCAGAGAACCCUGAGCUAAGAAACAGCCUUUACAUGCAAGUGCAAGAUGUCGUCAAUAAUGCGCUGAACACACUUCUGAAUGAACCCAGCAGUCCAAUUGUACAACCCAAAUCAUCCAAAUUCACGAGCUCUUCAAAACAGAUUGAUGGCAGGAUGGACUACACCUUCCAGGAUGGAGAUGCCAUACAACCAGUCAGCUUCCUAAAUGAGCUUCGAUCACAGUCUGGUAUGUCUAUACAAAAUGAAAAAUACUCUUGACAGUUACAACAACUUUUCCUCAAAAUCUAAAUAUUAUUGUAUGUUUCUCCCUUUCAUUGCAGAACUGACCCAUACUACAAUGUUUCCAGACACAAUAACCAAUUUCCCUUUGACUUCUUCAAGCCUAAUGCAAGUAUUGAGAUUCCAUUUAAAUGCAGUCUGUUAUGGAUUCAUAAUUUUAGCACAAAAAGUGAACCACAUUAAUCAAAAGUGAUCCUCUUUGCAGAUCUGGUACAGCGGUGGUCAUAAGCAAGCUGGUGUUCAACUCCUCAUCUCCAGUCCCCAGUGAAGCUCUGGUCCUCAGCGCCAUCAACACUCUCCGUAAUUCCAGAGAGUCACAGCUCAGUGAAUCAGUGCAGGUGGUGAAUGUCACCUAUGAGAGUAAGUCUCAUAAUUUUCAGUUUAGAAGCGUUUUAAAUGGAUAUGAGCAAAACAGCAAUGAAUGUCAAAUUUUCACCCAAUCAAAAAUAACCAUUUCUUUCUAAACAGAAAUUUCGGAAUCUUCCUAUGCUGUCAUUUUUAAAUUUAAUAUGAGUGACAUCAGCAUGCCAAGGGACUCUGGACUCAGAAACAACAUCUACCUGCAAGUACAGGAUACUAUCAAUAAAGCGCUAAACACUCUUCUGAAUGAACCUAGCAGUCCAGUUUUACAAUCCAUUUCAUCCAACUUUAAGAGUUCAUUAAAUCAGAUUGAGGGCAGUAUGGAGUACAACUUCCAAGAUGCAGAUGUCAUAAAACCAGUCAGAUUCCUACAGGCGCUUAGUUCAUUGACAGUCUUAACAACAGCCAGUACUCUGACAUCAAGCAUAACUUCUCCACCAACAUUGUUGGGGAAGGCUUAUAUAAAAAUUGAAUUGGUGUUUCACACACUGGGCCCAAUCCCUAGUAAGGAUUACAUUAUAAACUUGGCCAGCUCUACGCUCAACCCACGUUACAGAACUAAAGUAGUCGCACCACCAACCCAGGGUACGAGCCUUGUGGAUAUCGGCUAUAAAAAACUUAAUGAAACCUCCUAUGCUCUCACAUUUGAAUUUGAAAUCACUAAUAUAUCCAUGUCUGAGAAACGUGAACUAAGGAAUGAAACCUAUACUUCAAUCAAAAGCACUAUAAAUAAAUUGCUUGUCGACAUCCUAAAGGAUCCCUCAGCUUCUCAGUUUGAUCUGCAACACAUUGAAUUCGAUGGUAAUAGCACAGUGAUUCUGGCCAGUGUUCAGUAUGUUUUCUCAGAAAGUGACUUGAGCAUAAACAGCACCUUUGUCAAGGAAAUAUUCAAAGCUAAGGAAGACUUAACGACAGCCAGUACUCCGACAACAAGCACAUCUCCACCCAGUACUCUGAAAAUAAGCACAUCUCCACCAAAUGUGCUUGGGAAGGUGAUCAUAUACAUCAGCCUUGUGUUUAAAACACGGGGUACUAUCCCAAGUGAGAGUAACGUUGUAAAUGUGGCUAACACCCUGUUGUCUGGAAUGAAACUGAGAAUGAAACGAUCCCUCACAACAAAAGAUCUGACUGAGCUUGUGAACUUUGUGAAUGUCACCUAUACAAAAAUGGAUGAUAACUCCUUCUCUCUGAACUUUGGAUUUGAAAUCAGCAAUGUGUCCAUGUCUGAAAGAGUUGAAUUCAGGAAUGAGACCUUCACAGUGAUCCAGGACUAUAUAAAUACAUUUGUGUCCAAGAUCCUGAAUAAAACAACAACUACUUACCUUAAUUUCAAUCAAAUCAAUUUCAAGGGUAACUCCUCCGUGAUUGAGGCCAACGUACAGUAUGUUUUCACAGACAGUGACAUCGGCAGUUUCGGCUUGGUCUCUGCUUUCCUCGGACUUACUACAACAGCCGCUCCAACCACCUAUUACCCCACAGUCCUGACCAGUACAAUCUUAAACAAUAGUACAAACGUAGCAUGGAUUGUGGCUAUCAUUGUCCCCUGCGCUAUUGUCAUCGGGCUCGUACCUUGCUGGAUUCUCCUUUGCUGUUUGCUGUGUGGUUGCUGUGCAGCAAUCAGAAAACGUUGGCACAGAAGACGAUCAUACAAUGUACAGUACACAACUCGAAACAGCAUCUUCUAGAGGUAUUCAAGAACAAACUUUGAUGCUUAAAAUAUUAAUUUUCCUGUAUUGCUGGGCAUACAGAACCUCUGUAUACAGAACUGUGAUUUAAAAAAAAAAAAAAAUACUAUUUAAGGAAUGAUUUUAUUUAUUUAAAAAACUGUUAUGUAAAGUAAUGAGAAUCUUGUUUUCUAAAUGAAAGAUUUAUUUGGUAGUAUGUAUUUAAUGUUAAGGGAAAAAAUGUAGAAUGUGUUGAUCACUUAUUUAUUCACACUUAAUGUACUUUAUCUAAAAUAACAUAUUGCACUCUGAUGACAUAUGUAUGUACGAAUCACAAUUAAUGUUUUAAGACUGUGUAGUUAAAAACUAUAAUUUAAUAAAACAAUUCAAUACCAAUAUGAGAACAUUAUUGUAGCCUAUCCUUAAUUGUUGGU
This is a long non-coding RNA of Sinocyclocheilus anshuiensis, 2796 nucleotides long. NCBI's taxonomy places the organism in Eukaryota, Metazoa, Chordata, Actinopteri, Cypriniformes, Cyprinidae. The record is from Ensembl.